Molecule: long non-coding RNA, 842 nt
Organism: Notothenia coriiceps (black rockcod)
Lineage: Eukaryota; Metazoa; Chordata; Actinopteri; Perciformes; Nototheniidae
Exons: 2
Source: RefSeq, a predicted model, not a curated record
AAGAGAAUGUCGAACCGAGAGGUUGGAAGAUGAGGUGGAAGAGAAUGUCGAACCGAGAAGGUGAAGAUGGAGGUGGAAGAAGAAUGUGGAACAGAGAGGUGAAGAUGAGGUGGAAGAGAAUGUCGAACAGAGAGGUGAAGAUAGAAGGUUGUGGAACAGAGAGGUGAAAAGAGGAGAGCUCUGAGUCAAGGCCUUAACUCAGCGAAGAUCGAUCAGACUGGCCACCACCACAUCAGAUUGGGGACUCUUUUUUAGGCAGUGUGGUUGUUGAAAAUGGCCCACACAAAUGCCUGAUGGCCAUAUCCAAAGAUCAGAGAAGUCUAGAAGGUUUUUCAGCAAAGCGUAUUGUUUUCGCACAAUUGUCAAUUGGAGGGAGAAGUUGCACGAGAUUGGGUGUACCUGUAUUCUACAAAGUACGAAUAAGGUGUAUUGUUUUGCGUGUAAACUUUUCGGUGGGAGCUAGCGUUGUUUGAACACGCUUUGUGGUGGGAUAUAAAUAAACUGGCAGAGUCUUUCAAAAACGCUGCAGCACCAAUGAAACCAGUGUUACACAUCAACCGCGUAUCUUUCGGCCACAUCUGCUUACACGCCUUGUAAGACAAUUGACAGUAACCGUUUUGGUCAAAAAAGCCCAUAGAAGCUGAAAAGGCACACUGGAGAAGCGUGUUACGAGAGUGAAUCGAUUGCCAUACUCUUUCCUCGCAGAAAGGAACUUUGCCACUGGAGGGGGAAGACAUCUACAUUAGGAUCCUAAAAAAUGGGAAAUUUUUCUGGGUGUCCCUUGAGGUCAUAGCACGAUAUGAUGUCACACUAGCAGAGCAUCUUAGCAGGUAAGCGGCUAA